This 513-nucleotide ribosomal RNA is filed under the name uncultured bacterium. RNAcentral's name for it is "partial 16S ribosomal RNA". It matches the Rfam family "Bacterial small subunit ribosomal RNA", at positions 28 to 523 of the family's 1533-position model. The record is from RNAcentral.
GACGAACGCUGGCGGCAUGCCUAAUACAUGCAAGUCGAGCGAACAGAUGAGGUGCUUGCACUUCUGACGUUAGCGGCGAACGGGUGAGUAACACGUAAGGAAUCUACCUAUAAGCGGGGGAUAACAUUCGGAAACGGGUGCUAAUACCGCAUAAUAUCUUCUUCCGCAUGGAAGAAGAUUGAAAGACGGCUCUGCUGUCCCUUAUAGAUGACCUUGCGGUGCAUUAGUUAGUUGGUGGGGUAACGGCCUACCAAGACGAUGAUGCAUAGCCGACCUGAGAGGGUGAUCGGCCACAUUGGGACUGAGACACGGCCCAAACUCCUACGGGAGGCAGCAGUAGGGAAUCUUCCGCAAUGGGCGAAAGCCUGACGGAGCAAUGCCGCGUGAGUGAAGAAGGCCUUCGGGUCGUAAAACUCUGUUAUAAGAGAAGAACAAAUUGUAGAGUAACUGCUACAGUCUUGACGGUAUCUUAUCAGAAAGCCACGGCUAACUACGUGCCAGCAGCCGCGGUAA